This 253-nucleotide ribosomal RNA is filed under the name uncultured bacterium. RNAcentral's name for it is "partial 16S ribosomal RNA". It matches the Rfam family "Bacterial small subunit ribosomal RNA", at positions 524 to 776 of the family's 1533-position model. The record is from RNAcentral.
AACGUAGGGGGCGAGCGUUAUCCGGAAUCACUGGGCGUAAAGGGCAUCUAGGCGGUGCAUUAAGUCCUGCGUGAAAGCUCCUGGCUCAACUGGGAGAGCGCGUGGGAGACUGGUGCGCUAGAGACUCGGAGAGGGGUGUGGAAUUCCCGGUGGAGUGGUGAAAUGCGUUGAGAUCGGGAGGAACACCAGUGGCGAAGGCGGCACCCUGGCCGAGUUCUGACGCUGAAGUGCGACAGCGUGGGGAGCAAACGGG